GACGAACGCUGGCGGCGUGCCUAAUACAUGCAAGUUGAGCGCUGAAGGUUGGUACUUGUACCGACUGGAUGAGCAGCGAACGGGUGAGUAACGCGUGGGGAAUCUGCCUUUGAGCGGGGGACAACAUUUGGAAACGAAUGCUAAUACCGCAUAAAAACUUUAAACACAAGUUUUAAGUUUGAAAGAUGCAAUUGCAUCACCCAAAGAUGAUCCCGCGUUGUAUUAGCUAGUUGGUGAGGUAAAGGCUCACCAAGGCGAUGAUACAUAGCCGACCUGAGAGGGUGAUCGGCCACAUUGGGACUGAGACACGGCCCAAACUCCUACGGGAGGCAGCAGUAGGGAAUCUUCGGCAAUGGACGAAAGUCUGACCGAGCCACGCCGCGUGAGUGAAGAAGGUUUUCGGAUCGUAAAACUCUGUUGGUAGAGAAGAACGUUGGUGAGAGUGGAAAGCUCAUAAAGUGACGGUAACUACCCAGAAAGGGACGGCUAACUACGUG
RNAcentral lists this ribosomal RNA (497 nucleotides) under uncultured bacterium. Its description in RNAcentral is "partial 16S ribosomal RNA". It matches the Rfam family "Bacterial small subunit ribosomal RNA", at positions 28 to 507 of the family's 1533-position model. The record is from RNAcentral.